AGCGAACGCUGGCGGCAGGCUUAACACAUGCAAGUCGAACGGGCGUAGCAAUACGUCAGUGGCAGACGGGUGAGUAACACGUGGGAACGUACCCUUUGGUUCGGAACAACACAGGGAAACUUGUGCUAAUACCGGAUAAGCCCUUACGGGGAAAGAUUUAUCGCCGAAGGAUCGGCCCGCGUCUGAUUAGCUUGUUGGUGAGGUAAUGGCUCACCAAGGCGACGAUCAGUAGCUGGUCUGAGAGGAUGAUCAGCCACACUGGGACUGAGACACGGCCCAGACUCCUACGGGAGGCAGCAGUGGGGAAUAUUGGACAAUGGGCGCAAGCCUGAUCCAGCCAUGCCGCGUGAGUGAUGAAGGCCCUAGGGUUGUAAAGCUCUUUUGGCGGGGAAGAUAAUGACGGUACCCGCAGAAUAAGCCCCGGCUAACUUCGUG
Molecule: ribosomal RNA, 435 nt
Filed under: uncultured bacterium
Lineage: Bacteria
Description: bacterial SSU rRNA
Rfam family: Bacterial small subunit ribosomal RNA
Source: RNAcentral